ACGUAGAGUGUAAAGGCAAAAGAGAGCUUGAUUGCAAGACAUACAGGUCGAGCAAGGAUGAAAAUCGGACUUAGUGAUCCGGUGGUUCUGCGUGGAAGGGCCAUCGCUCAACGGAUAAAAGCUACCCUGGGGAUAACAGGCUUAUCUCCCCCAAGAGUCCACAUCGACGGGGAGGUUUGGCACCUCGAUGUCGGCUCAUCCCAUCCUGGGGCUGGAGUAGGGACCAAGGGUUGGGCUGUUCACCCAUUAAAGUGGACCGCGAGCUGGGUUCAGAACGUCGUGAGACAGUUCGGUCCCUAUCCGUCGCAGGCGUAGGAAAUUUGAGAAGACCUGUCCUUAGUACGAGAGGACCGGGAUGGACGUACCUCUGGUGUACCAGUUGUCCUGCCAAGGGCAUGGCUGGGUAGCUAUGUACGGAAUGGAUAAGCGCUGAAAGCAUC
This 440-nucleotide ribosomal RNA is filed under the name Clostridioides difficile. Its description in RNAcentral is "bacterial LSU rRNA". It matches the Rfam family "Bacterial large subunit ribosomal RNA", at positions 2342 to 2781 of the family's 2925-position model. Lineage: Bacteria; Bacillati; Bacillota; Clostridia; Peptostreptococcales; Peptostreptococcaceae. The record is from RNAcentral.